UACGUAGGUGGCGAGCGUUGUCCGGAUUUACUGGGCGUAAAGAGCGCGCAGGCGGCUGGUCAAGUCCGAUGUGAAAGCUCCCGGCUUAACUGGGGAGGGUCAUUCGAUACUGAUCGACUCGAAGGCAGGAGAGGGUAGUGGAAUUCCCGGUGUAGUGGUGAAAUGCGUAGAUAUCGGGAGGAACACCAGUGGCGAAGGCGACUACCUGGCCUGUUCUUGACGCUGAGGCGCGAAAGCUAGGGGAGCAAACGGG
RNAcentral lists this ribosomal RNA (253 nucleotides) under uncultured bacterium. Its description in RNAcentral is "partial 16S ribosomal RNA". It matches the Rfam family "Bacterial small subunit ribosomal RNA", at positions 524 to 776 of the family's 1533-position model. The record is from RNAcentral.